AUGUAGCUCAGGGGUAGAGCUUCUGUUUGUAGGCAGAAGGUCCCAGGUUCAAUCCCUGCCAGGUAGG
Non-coding RNA from Podarcis lilfordi (Lilford's wall lizard), 67 nucleotides. NCBI's taxonomy places the organism in Eukaryota, Metazoa, Chordata, Lepidosauria, Squamata, Lacertidae. The record is from the annotation of a GenBank genome assembly.